GCCGGUUCUGGUAGGCCUCACUUUAACAACCUCAGUGGCGAGUCUCGGACUCUCUGGUGGAGCUAUAGGUCAUACUCUAUGGGCAUCCAAUGACCUGCAACAAAAACUGCAGGAAGCACUUGAUACCACUGCUGAGUCUCUGGGCUCCUUGCAGGUUACUUCAUUGGCACAAGUGGCUUUACAAAACCGAAGGGCAAUUGAUCUUCCCACUGCAGAAAAAGGGGGUACAUGCCUGUUCCUCAGAGAGGAAUGUUGCUAUUAUGUUAAUGAGUCUGGGCUAAUAGAAAAAAAUGUUGUUAAAUUGCAGGAAUUAUCGACCCAAUUGCUCAAACCCACCUCCUCCAGUCCCAUAAUGGGGUUCUUCCAAUCCUCUCUUGCCGUGUACUUACUACCUAUCUUGGGGCCCCUUAUUGGGAUGCUCCUUUUUUGUGCUCUCUUGCCCUGCAUAAUGAAGUUCCUUCAAACCCAACUACAAAAAAUUUCUAAUCAAACUUUCAACCAGCUUCUGCUUAGGCACUACCAGCCUCUGAUGACUGAUGAAUCCCCAACAUCUCCAAGAGAACAGUUCACUCAGUGCUGAAGCUCACUACCAGGCACGAUGGAAUGCAACGGACAUCAGACAGCGGGAGACAAUGAGCUCAGAGAACCUCUUAAUCUGCUAUCCUGGAUUCAUGAGUCUUUAUGUCAUUUUAAGCCUCCUCAUGGCCCUUGGCCUCUUCUCUGUCAGUCCCCCAACAUGGAACUUCUGCCAAAAAUUGGCCUUUGCUUUAAUUUUUAUCUUCAUUCUGUUUUUAUUCUCUCUGAUCUUCUUCAGGUGCUGGUGACGCCAUGUCCAGGCAAUGCUUCCAGUAUUUCCUAGAGUCUCUGUUACAGAACCAGUGGCUGAUACCAACAAUCUCCUCCAUCCAGGACCGGUUCCAUGCCAUCGACAACUUGUGGCUUCAGGGAACUUUCAUAUACUUCACCCCUACAGAAGUAGCUGUAUAUAGCCACUGGGUUUUAUUUCUGGCUGCCAUGAUAUCCCCAGACCUGUCCCCCGAGCAUUCCUCCACUUCCCUUUCUAGGCCCCACAGCGCCCCCACACAGCAGGAAGCAGCCGGAUCUGACCAACGACGCCCCAUUUCCUAAGAAAACAAAAAGGGAGGAAUGUUGGGAAAAGUAUAAAUGGCAGCCAUACCCCAGAGAAAAAACCCCAACAUGGCGCCUAAGGACCUCUUCUUCCUACCUUCUUCUUUUCUGCAGUGGCGCGAAAAGUUCCCACCCGUGUGAACUCUCCUGCCGAUGCCAAUUUCAAAUCUCACUGGCGGGGAACCUUAGCCCCAAUGAGAACUAAUUCCUGGGCUCUGGAGCUGAUAUCUGGAAGAACUUACCAAUAAAUGGGUUGCCUGCCAUUUAUCUAAGCCCUACCAUCUCCCCCUUAGUUCUAUAUAAGCACACAGCUUUUUGCAAUAAAAUUGGAAUUCUCCCGGUGAAGUGUCUUUGCGUGGGGA
This 1490-nucleotide long non-coding RNA is filed under the name Marmota monax (woodchuck). The record is from RNAcentral. Lineage: Eukaryota; Metazoa; Chordata; Mammalia; Rodentia; Sciuridae.